GGUUUAUUUGAUAAAACUCAACUCAACCAGAAUCUAACUCUAACACCCAUAACCAAAUGAAAAGUUUAACUCGAUUGUCUUGAAACCAUACUAGUUGUAAAUGUUUUUUUUUUACCAUUUACAACUAGCAUGGCUUCAAAUCAUAAAAAAUGUUACUGAAAAUAUGGUUAGAAAACCAAGAAUACAAAACUAUAAAUUUUUAACCAGAUUAGUUAUUAGUGGCUUCAAAACCGUAACAGUAAGAAAUGUUCUUUACCGUAAACUUUUUUGUUAAUUGAAUAGACAUGCUGGUUAUUUUACAGUAAUUUUAAAAUGAAAAUUCUGAAAGUCAAUUUAGAAGACAAUAAGCUAUGGAUUUUAAAUGUUUAAAAAAUUAUUUGAUGAACACUAAGUUUGUAAUGAAAAUAAAGUGUUGAACUGUAAAUUUCAAAAAUUUGAAAUUUGCUUAAUCAAUCGCUGUCGCACUGUUGUUGUAGAAUAGUGAUUUACUGUAUUCUUUAAAAAUAAUUUAAAUUAAUGCUUGAUAAAUUUAGAUAUUGAUUUUAAACUGAAUUAUUUGCAUACUAUAAAUAAAUGUCAUUUUUUAUGCAUACACUUUUAGAUUGAUUAACGUCUAACUUGGGAAGGAAAUUAAAUGAAAAGAGAUUUCUAAAUAUAUAACAGGAAUGACAAUCUAAUUGGUGUCAGUAAUUACCAUUGAUAUAUAAUUAAAAGCAUUCUUGUUUAUUAUCAGUGGGAAAAAAGGCAAUUUAAUUCAAAUUGUUAUUACAAUUUAAUUCAUAUUGUUUAAAAAAUUAAAGACCUGUUAAAUAUUAAAAUGUAACUGUGAAACUUUAUUUCUUGCAUGUAGAUCUUCAAAUAUUACUUGAUCAUCUUCUGACAAAUCUUGGCAGCUUAGAUCUACAAGCUUUACUUAAACAACUGCUUAAAGAUCUGAAUCCAACAGUUGGUGAUGCUCUAAACAGUAAGCAUGUUUAAUUUAAAAUUAUAACUAAUAUAUAAUAUUGAAUGUCUUAAAGCUUAAGUAAGACA
This is a non-coding RNA of Parasteatoda tepidariorum (common house spider), 1032 nucleotides long. The record is from RefSeq and is a predicted model, not a curated record. NCBI's taxonomy places the organism in Eukaryota, Metazoa, Arthropoda, Arachnida, Araneae, Theridiidae.